This 96-nucleotide ribosomal RNA is filed under the name Pectobacterium odoriferum. RNAcentral also lists the same sequence under 1 other name. The record is from RNAcentral. Lineage: Bacteria; Pseudomonadati; Pseudomonadota; Gammaproteobacteria; Enterobacterales; Pectobacteriaceae.
GGUCCCACCUGACCCCAUGCCGAACUCAGAAGUGAAACGCCGUAGCGCCGAUGGUAGUGUGGGGUUUCCCCAUGUGAGAGUAGGGAACUGCCAGGC